This is a long non-coding RNA of Carassius auratus (goldfish), 1764 nucleotides long. RefSeq lists it as uncharacterized. The transcript has 3 exons. The record is from RefSeq and is a predicted model, not a curated record. NCBI's taxonomy places the organism in Eukaryota, Metazoa, Chordata, Actinopteri, Cypriniformes, Cyprinidae.
GAGAAUCCUCCCUCCUUUUCUGUUAAUUGGGCAACGUUCAGCUGCUCAAUAGCUUGACAUUUAGAGUCUGUCAGCUCUGAGGAUGCAUAAAUACACACAUACGCAGCUUAGAAUAUGUUCUCUCUUUUCCAGGGUCUGCUUAAAUACUUCAACAUACAUUCAUUUAAUUGCCGUUAAACUUGUUUGCGUAGUCCGUCACUCUAACCUUCUGUCCUUUAUCAGUGUUAUUCUGCCCAAAAUCUAUCCAUCUACUCUUUCUUUUUUUUGUUUCUUGCUAGGUGCUCAAAACAUGGAGGGAUAUUUAUCAAGUGUCCUUCACAAAUGCUGCCCUGGUGAACUCAGAUAUUGACCUGGAAUUAUUGUACCAACCAAUAGUCAGAACAAAAAGAUGAAAGUUUAAUUAUUUAGCCGAGUCUAAAAACCUCAAAUUAACCUAAUGAUGAGCCAUCUGGCAUCUCCAACUGCAACUUUGUCACACGACAAAAAGAGAGACGGGCGGAAAGAGAGAUGCACAGAGAUAAGAAUAACAGAUCAAGGAAUGAGGGGAAUAAAUAGACUGGCAGAGAGAAACAGAAAUGUAUGGGGAUGGAAAGAGAUAAAGAGAGAUGGAUGGUCAGAACAAGAAAAAAACAAGUUGACAGAGAUAGAAAAGAAGAGAGAAAGCAUCAAUAGCAAAAACCAGGAGGCUGUUGCCAUACAGAGAUCAUGGAGGAGGGAGUGUAAUGGAGGCCCAUGAGAGCACUUUCUUUUGAUGGCUUUACUAAAAUAAUGGGAUUCAGAACACAAAUAAUAAGGUCUUGUAUUCAGGGUCGUCUUCCUAAGGUACUGUGCAAGAGUGGGAAAGGGGUAGAGUCUGCUGAAGUUACAGGCCCGUUGAUUCAACUGUUAUGGGAGUGGCCUACCUCUCAUGACCACACCCACCAUAACACUUCUGACGUUCCAGCUCCUUCCACAUGGAAUGUAGUUUGUUUUUAAAAAUCAGUAUUUUGUAAUUUAAAUCAGUAUUUUUGUAAUUUAGAAAUCAGUAUUUUUGUAAUUUAAAAAUCAGUAUUUUUUCUGGUGGAUAUUGAAAAGUCAAUUUUAAAUUUUACUCAAAAUGCGAUAUUCACAGAUUUAUUAGGUAAUAUUUUCUCCCUCUUUUUCCAAAACAUGACAAACGCCAGUCUCCCUUGUUUGCAGAAUGCCAUAUAUCCGCUCAACCAAUCACAGCACACCAUUCCACGCACUGUAGACAGCUAUUGGCAGCGCUUUGAAUUCACUCUGCAUCUUAGUUUUCCUCAUCUACUUUGUAGUUUUUGAUCAACAAACAAGGGUUGCACAAUAAAUCGCAUGAGAUUGAUCAAGAAAGCCGGUUCUGUGAUUAAUAGUAAGGGUAAAUCUCCAUCAUGUGCUUUUAAAUGGAGCAACAAUUAAUACACAGAGCCGUAGAUCACUGACAAGUUGCGCUAUAUCGCGUUCAUUAGAUGAAUCGCAUUCGAACGCGAUAUUGCAUAGCUUGUCAGUGUUCGUAUUUUUAUUAAUGCCAUUUAAGUUUUUGUUAAUGCAGGAGCACAUAGCACUAGUCAUCUAAAUUAAUGUAACAUGGCAAAGAUGAAUGUACUUUUGGAAGUUGAAUGUAAGGGAAAUUUCUGUGGUCUAAUGUGAUAUUGUUCAUGUUCUUGUUCAUGAUGAAAUUGUAUUUUAUUGCUGUAAUUAAUUUAUAGCAUUGACAAGAUGACCCACUGAAUUAAUUUUGGAAGCAAGGACUGAUAGAUGUAUUUUUAG